GAGAUUGAGGGAGCGAGAACAAUGAAUGUUCUGUUACUAUUCCUCUCACCUUUUCUUCAUUUAUUUUAUUUUUACAAAACAAGCAUUGAAACCAUUAAAAAAUUUGUUUACGUUUAGUCUUCUGUUUUUUAUUAAAUAGUAUAUAUUGGUGUAUUUGCUUUCCCAAUUCAUAAUCCAUUGAAAAACCCAACAGCCAGGUGACUGGGUUUA
Molecule: long non-coding RNA, 210 nt
Filed under: Lathyrus oleraceus (garden pea)
Lineage: Eukaryota; Viridiplantae; Streptophyta; Magnoliopsida; Fabales; Fabaceae
Description: Pisum sativum (pea) long non-coding RNA (PSAT_LNC029200)
Source: RNAcentral